GAUGAACGCUGGCGGCGUGCUUAACACAUGCAAGUCGAACGAGCCUUCGGGCUAGUGGCGGACGGGUGAGUAACGCGUGGGAAUCUGCCCUCAGGAGGGGGAUAACGGCCGGAAACGGCCGCUAAUACCCCAUAUGCCGAGAGGUGAAACGAAAUUCGCCUGGGGAUGAGCCCGCGUCUGAUUAGCUAGUUGGUGUGGUAAUGGCGCACCAAGGCAUCGAUCAGUAGCUGGUCUGAGAGGAUGAUCAGCCACACUGGGACUGAGACACGGCCCAG
Molecule: ribosomal RNA, 275 nt
Filed under: uncultured Prochlorococcus sp.
Lineage: Bacteria; Bacillati; Cyanobacteriota; Cyanophyceae; Synechococcales; Prochlorococcaceae
Description: partial 16S ribosomal RNA
Rfam family: Bacterial small subunit ribosomal RNA
Source: RNAcentral